UAUUUAUGUUUAUUACCUUAGGGUUUAAAUCACAGAUCUAUUGUCUUCCUCAUUCUCUCUGGUCUUCAACUGCUCCGAAUCAUAUUGAUGAUCUAUAAUACUGUUUCGAUUCUUGAAGAACUCUUCCUGAGAAGCCCUGAGAUUCUCAUAAGCAACACAUAGACACUUGUGAGAAGCAUAACCAGCCUUGACGUUUUUUUCUCCCAAGCUCUCUCCACCAUUUUCUGCUUCCCCGUCGUCUCCGGCAACAUCUCUCUUCGCUACCUACCUGUCUCCUUCAACCAAGACAUUGGCUCCACCACUCCUUUCUUCACUGCCAUCUUCGCCUUCCUCAUCACUUUCAAGAAAGAGUCCCCCCAGAGAGUAAGCAAAGGCAACAUUACGCCUUUUCCACUUAAAGCUACCGAACCAGAGGAACGCCUCAUUCAAGAGCAGUUGAAGAGUAUUUUCAUGAGGCAUGACAAAAAGGUCAAUGGAUGUCUCUGCCGGGAAGAGCUAAAAAUGGGUUUUAAAGAUCCUUAUAAAUUUCAUGUUUUGUUUCCUGGAUGGUGAUUGCAAAUCUGAUGCUGACGAAGAUGGAAUCAUCUCCAAGGACGAGAUGGAUGGUCUCAUCAGAUAUGAUUGUGAAUUAUUAGGAUAUAAUUAAAGUUAAGUAGUGGAUUAAUGACGAUUACGAAUAUGUAACACCAUGUGGUGAAGUAACAUCACUCUUAAAUAUCUAUGUGUGUGCGCGCAUGUGUGUACAUGUAGCGAAGCUGCACCUUCCUUAAUUACUAUGAUGAAUGAUAAUAAAUAAAUAAAUAAAAUGUAACUUUCA
Long non-coding RNA from Camellia sinensis, 817 nucleotides. RefSeq lists it as uncharacterized. The record is from RefSeq and is a predicted model, not a curated record. Lineage: Eukaryota; Viridiplantae; Streptophyta; Magnoliopsida; Ericales; Theaceae.